Molecule: ribosomal RNA, 487 nt
Filed under: uncultured bacterium
Lineage: Bacteria
Description: bacterial SSU rRNA
Rfam family: Bacterial small subunit ribosomal RNA
Source: RNAcentral
GACGAACGCUGGCGGCGCGCCUAACACAUGCAAGUCGAACGGGGUCUUUUUGGAGCUUGCUUUGGGAAGACCUAGUGGCGGACGGGUGAGUAACACGUGAGCAACCUGCCGAGGAGUGGGGGAUAACGUCUGGAAACGGACGCUAAUACCGCAUAAUAUCCAGAAGUGGCAUCACUUUUGGAUCAAAGGAGCAAUCCGCUCUUCGAUGGGCUCGCGCCCGAUUAGAUAGUUGGUGAGGUAAUGGCUCACCAAGUCGACGAUCGGUAGCCGGACUGAGAGGUUGAACGGCCACAUUGGGACUGAGACACGGCCCAGACUCCUACGGGAGGCAGCAGUGGGGAAUAUUGGGCAAUGGGCGAAAGCCUGACCCAGCGACGCCGCGUGGAGGAAGAAGGUUUUCGGAUUGUAAACUCCUGUCUUCGGGGAAGAUAAUGACGGUACCCGAGGAGGAAGCCACGGCUAACUACGUGCCAGCCGCCGCCGUAAC